This is an RNA transcript of Arvicola amphibius (Eurasian water vole), 1707 nucleotides long. It is a transcript of the gene named DNA repair protein RAD51 homolog 2-like, with no coding region annotated. The record is from RefSeq and is a predicted model, not a curated record. The transcript is spliced from 6 exons. NCBI's taxonomy places the organism in Eukaryota, Metazoa, Chordata, Mammalia, Rodentia, Cricetidae.
AAGAAAGACAAAAUCCAAAGUCAUCAUAAACGUUUGUGACACCAAAGCCCACUUGCUGGAGAUGACAGAAGCCCGACAACACUGGAGUUACAUAAAGUGCCACAAGGUUAUCUUGACGAAUCAAAUUACGGCCCAUCUGAGUGGAGCCCUCCCUUCUCAAGCAGACCUGGUGUCUCCGGCUGAUGAUUUGUCCCUGUCUGAAGGCACUUCUGGAUCCAGCUGUGUGGUAGCCGCACUAGGAAACACAUGGAGUCACUGUGUGAACACCCGGCUGAUUCUCCAGUACCUUGACUCACAGAGAAGGCAGAUUCUUAUUGCCAAGUCCCCUCUGGCUUCCUUCACCUCCUUCGUCUACACCAUCAAGGGAGAAGGCCUGAUUCUCCAAGGCCAAGAGAGGCCGUAGGGAUACUGUGACCUUUGUCUAGAGCUGAUGGGGGUGUGAAAUGAAACCAGACCAAGACGGGUGCUGCCUGCAAAAAGGAAACGGAAGCCAACAUAAUGAGGAUUAAUUGGUUGAUUGCCAUCGAGAUGGCAACUGUGAUUUCAGACCCGGAAGGGAAGCUACCAAUAACUCUGGGAAAGAAGGGCAAGUUAGAAGGAGUUGUGUCCUGCUCUGCCCAAUGCUCUGAAGAUAAAACAGCUGACUCGGAACUGCCUGGGACCAUCUGACUUUGUGUGAAAAGGUUUUGGAAAUGUGCCUCCAUUCCUCCCUUCUUAUUAGACAUGAUUCAGAUCCCCUCUAAGCCCUGUGAUUUCCAGAAAUCAGCUGGGGGUUGGUGGUAAAAACUUUCCCUCAUUAUUCUCAAUAAUGAAUCCCUGCUCUGAGCGGAUUCUGUCCAUGUGUUUCCAGUCAAGUGCCGAUGGCAGCCUUGCCGGGGGACAUUUCCGAGAGGCUGCGGACAUAAUAGAUGAGGCCUUGUAUUGACAAGAGCUGUCCUUCGUUUUCCAUCCCGUUCAGCCUUUCAGAGCCCUGAAAUCAGAGCUGAGAAAUGAUGAGCCCACAAGGCUGCCACACCCCUUUGCUUCCUCUGGGUAAAGACAUGGUUUCAGGGUCCGUCCGUCCCCCCCCCCCCCCACACACACACACACCAGAGUCACAGAUCUGGAGCCUAGUAACUUAAGAAAGACUUCUUAGGACCAAACCUGUUUUUAUAGAUGCCAAGACUUCCUUUCUUUAGGACCUGCGCACAGCCUUAGCUUGCUCUCACAUCCCAAGAGCAAGGGGAGAAAUUAGGCCACCCCGCUUCCUAGAGAAAGCCUCAUUUCAAGCAUACAAACAACUUCCAAGUAAACUAUGGGCUUGACUGUGUUAAGACAGCCAGCCUAUGCAUUCUUCCCUACCUACAGAGAAGACAAACACCUGUUGAGAUAAGGUGGGCCCUUUUCAUUUGGAAAACAAGCAUACAUCCCUGCAGGUAAAAAGUGACGUGUUGUUAAGGGUGUGAGUGGCGCCUCUGGGAGCAUCCUGAGAACUCACUGUCCGGAGUGAGUGUCCUGAGGUCUGUAGUUCUGUACUUGAGCCUUUCAGCUGAGUCCCUCCCCUCCAACGGCCCCCUUCCCAACCCCGCUUGGUUAGCAUUCCGCUCAGAGGUUAAGAGCAUUGCCUGCUCUUCCAAAGGUCCUGAGUUCAAUCCCCAGCAACCACAUGGUGGCUCACAACCAUCUGUAAUGGGGUCUGGUGCCCUCUUCUGGCCUGCAGGCAUACAC